Molecule: ribosomal RNA, 253 nt
Filed under: uncultured bacterium
Lineage: Bacteria
Description: partial 16S ribosomal RNA
Rfam family: Bacterial small subunit ribosomal RNA
Source: RNAcentral
UACGGGGGGUGCAAGCGUUAUUCGGAAUUAUUGGGCGUAAAGAGCGCGUAGGCGGUUUUCUAAGUCAGAUGUGAAAGCCCGGGGCUUAACCCCGGAAGUGCAUUUGAAACUGGAUGACUUGAGUAUGGGAGAGGGAAGUGGAAUUCCUGGUGUAGAGGUGAAAUUCGUAGAUAUCAGGAGGAACACCGGUGGCGAAGGCGACUUCCUGGACCAAUACUGACGCUGAGGCGCGAAGGCGUGGGGAGCAAACAGG